CCUUAUCUAAACUGUAUUUGAAGAGACAGUCAAUAUAUAUAUAUAUAUAUAUUUUCUUUUCUCAUCAUCUUCUGCACAGACACAGAAUGAUCACAAGUCCAUGUUUAUUACUACUAUUGCACAUCAAUUACCAGGGGCAGCCUGCCUCUAUCACCCCCUCUUCUGGGGGUGAGCAAACGAACCUCACUCCAUAGCAGGAGCUUCAUGGAACAUGCAGCUGGGGCAAGACAGAGCGAAAGUACGAAGUCAUAUUAUUCAUUAUGUUGCUAUUAAACGAUAUCAUCGCAGAUACCAUCACUAGAUACCAUUGCUAGAUAUUAUCGAGAGAUAUCAUCAGUGGAUAUCAAUCAUUCAGCCAGGUCAGUAGAUACAUAAGCAGAUAGAUAGGCAGAUAGUCAGCUAGUAAGCUGGCUUUGAUAAGUAGAUGAGUAGCUAGAUGGUGAUGUUAUUAUUGAGCAUGCAGAU
Molecule: small RNA, 465 nt
Filed under: Histoplasma capsulatum var. duboisii H88
Lineage: Eukaryota; Fungi; Ascomycota; Eurotiomycetes; Onygenales; Ajellomycetaceae
Description: Histoplasma capsulatum H88 hypothetical RNA
Source: RNAcentral